AUUGAACGCUGGCGGCAGGCUUAACACAUGCAAGUCGAACGAUGAAACUCUAGCUUGCUAGAGAUGAUUAGUGGCGGACGGGUGAGUAACAUUUAGGAAUCUGCCUAGUAGUGGGGGAUAGCUCGGGGAAACUCGAAUUAAUACCGCAUACGACCUACGGGUGAAAGGGGGCGCAAGCUCUUGCUAUUAGAUGAGCCUAAAUCAGAUUAGCUAGUUGGUGGGGUAAAGGCCCACCAAGGCGACGAUCUGUAACUGGUCUGAGAGGAUGAUCAGUCACACCGGAACUGAGACACGGUCCGGACUCCUACGGGAGGCAGCAGUGGGGAAUAUUGGACAAUGGGGGCAACCCUGAUCCAGCCAUGCCGCGUGUGUGAAGAAGGCCUUUUGGUUGUAAAGCACUUUAAGCAGGGAGGAGAGGCUAAUGGUUAAUACCCAGUAGAUUAGACGUUACCUGCAGAAUAAGCACCGGCUAACUCUGUG
Molecule: ribosomal RNA, 480 nt
Filed under: uncultured bacterium
Lineage: Bacteria
Description: partial 16S ribosomal RNA
Rfam family: Bacterial small subunit ribosomal RNA
Source: RNAcentral